This 316-nucleotide ribosomal RNA is filed under the name uncultured Bacteroidales bacterium. RNAcentral's name for it is "partial 16S ribosomal RNA". The record is from RNAcentral. Lineage: Bacteria; Pseudomonadati; Bacteroidota; Bacteroidia; Bacteroidales.
GGAGUUUGGACCGUGUCUCAGUUCCAAUGUGGGGGACCUUCCUCUCAGAACCCCUACUGAUCGUCGCCUUGGUGGGCCGUUACCCCGCCAACUAGCUAAUCAGUCGCAUCCUCAUCCAUCGCCGAUAAAUCUUUAUUCGCCAAACCAUGCGGAAAAGCGAAACCAUCAGGUAUUAAUCUUUCUUUCGAAAGGCUAUCCCUGAGCCAUGGGUAGAUUGGAUACGCGUUACGCACCCGUGCGCCGGUCGCCGGCAGUGUAUUGCUACACCCCGCUGCCCCUCGACUUGCAUGUGUUAGGCCUGCCGCUAGCGUUCAUC